CAUCUCAGCAGUAGGGAACUUUCGGCAAUGGGGAGAACCCUGACCGAGCAACGCCGCGUGAAGGAAGAAGGAAUUCGGUCUGUAAACUUCUGUUAUAAAGGAAGAACGGGGGAUAUAGGGAAUGAUAUCCGACUGACGGUACUUUAUGAGAAAGCCACGGCUAACUAC
RNAcentral lists this ribosomal RNA (168 nucleotides) under uncultured bacterium. RNAcentral's name for it is "partial 16S ribosomal RNA". It matches the Rfam family "Bacterial small subunit ribosomal RNA", at positions 344 to 504 of the family's 1533-position model. The record is from RNAcentral.